Larimichthys crocea (large yellow croaker) is the source of this 324-nucleotide long non-coding RNA. RefSeq lists it as uncharacterized. Lineage: Eukaryota; Metazoa; Chordata; Actinopteri; Sciaenidae. The record is from RefSeq and is a predicted model, not a curated record. The transcript is spliced from 4 exons.
GAGGAUGAGCGAGCGGCAGCAGAGAUCUAUGAGGAGUUUCUUGCCGCUUUUGAAGGAGGAGGAGAGGGCAAAGUUAAGGCCUUUGUCCGCGGCGGCAUUGCAAAUGCAACAAAAGAGGAGGCAGCUGCCGAUGAAAAGAAAGGAAAGUUGUACAAACCCAAGUCGCGCUUCGAAACCCAAACAAAAAGCUUCUUGCCUUUGGAAACCCCACCUCAGUUUUUAGCAUUAGACAAGAGACACUCUUUGAAGAAAACCACUGAGAAGGAAAAGAAGAAGAGCAACUUGGAGCUCUUCAAAGAAGAACUUAAGCAGAUACAAGAGGAA